Long non-coding RNA from Magallana angulata, 715 nucleotides. RefSeq lists it as uncharacterized. The transcript has 2 exons. NCBI's taxonomy places the organism in Eukaryota, Metazoa, Mollusca, Bivalvia, Ostreida, Ostreidae. The record is from RefSeq and is a predicted model, not a curated record.
AAAUGACAAAAUUGCAUAUUCCACUUCCGGAUGUCUGCUAUCAGCUGAUACUCAUUGAUACAUGGCUGAUAUAUUUGAAGUUUUUCUGACAUUUUUUAUUAUCGUUGUUGCUUUAGUUGCGGUUAUUCUUUUCAUAGCCUGUGGAUGGUACCUAGUGUGGAAAUUGUUUUUGUCCAAGUUUAAGUUUGUUCAAGAACUACUGGGGAAAAAUGAAAGUGAACGUGCAGAGGUUUCACCAAAGAAGCCGAGAACAAAACUCAGGAAAGACUAGAAAACUUGAUUAAAAUGAAAUCUGUUUAAGAACCACGUUGAAGAGACCCUGGAAAUAGGAUCUGACAAAGGCAACAGUAGGAUGGUGCUAGUGAUUAAAAAAAUUCAAAAGUCUGAUGGGGACCAUUCGUGUUGGAGGACCAUAUAUUUUAUGUCAUUAGUUUGUAAUUCAGGAUUACAUUAGAAAUUUGGAUAUGCUUGCCAGAAGGGCCUGAAUAAGGUUGUGAUGCUGUUGCUGUACAUUUUAUAAUCUAAAAUCAUUAUUAUGAUUGUCAUAAAGAUACAGAUGUAUGUUUUGUUAAUUUUGGACACUAUAACUGGCUCAAACAGUUUUUAGAACCAUGUAUAUCUUCUUUGUUUUUAUAAUAAUAAAAGAUGAAGAAGAUGCCGACAAUGGUUUAUUGUUUGUAAAAUACAAAAUAUUACAAAAACAAUGUAUAUACAA